RNAcentral lists this ribosomal RNA (473 nucleotides) under uncultured bacterium. RNAcentral's name for it is "bacterial SSU rRNA". It matches the Rfam family "Bacterial small subunit ribosomal RNA", at positions 28 to 502 of the family's 1533-position model. The record is from RNAcentral.
GACGAACGCUGGCGGCGUGCCUAACACAUGCAAGUCGAACGGAGUUCCUUGGAUAGAGGCUUCGGCCAAUUGAAUUGGAACUUAGUGGCGGACUGGUGAGUAACGCGUGAGGAACCUGCCUUUCAGAGGGGGACAACAGUUGGAAACGACUGCUAAUACCGCAUGAUACAUGAUGGGGGCAUCCCUGACAUGUCAAAGAUUUUAUCGCUGAAAGAUGGCCUCGCGUCUGAUUAGAUAGUUGGUGAGGUAACGGCUCACCAAGUCUGCGAUCAGUAGCCGGUCUGAGAGGAUGAACGGCCACAUUGGGACUGAGAUACGGCCCAGACUCCUACGGGAGGCAGCAGUGGGAAUAUUGCGCAAUGGGGGCAACCCUGACGCAGCAACGCCGCGUGAAGGAUGAAGGUCUUCGGAUCGUAAACUUUGUCUUAUGGGAAGAACAAGGACGGUACCAUAGGAGGAAGCCACGGCUAACU